RNAcentral lists this ribosomal RNA (484 nucleotides) under uncultured bacterium. Its description in RNAcentral is "partial 16S ribosomal RNA". It matches the Rfam family "Bacterial small subunit ribosomal RNA", at positions 30 to 507 of the family's 1533-position model. The record is from RNAcentral.
AUUGAACGCUGGCGGCAGGCCUAACACAUGCAAGUCGAGCGGAUGAAGGGAGCUUGCUCCUGGAUUCAGCGGCGGACGGGUGAGUAAUGCCUAGGAAUCUGCCUGGUAGUGGGGGAUAACGUCCGGAAACGGGCGCUAAUACCGCAUACGUCCUGAGGGAGAAAGUGGGGGAUCUUCGGACCUCACGCUAUCAGAUGAGCCUAGGUCGGAUUAGCUAGUUGGUGGGGUAAAGGCCUACCAAGGCGACGAUCCGUAACUGGUCUGAGAGGAUGAUCAGUCACACUGGAACUGAGACACGGUCCAGACUCCUACGGGAGGCAGCAGUGGGGAAUAUUGGACAAUGGGCGAAAGCCUGAUCCAGCCAUGCCGCGUGUGUGAAGAAGGUCUUCGGGUUGUAAAGCACUUUUAGUGGGGAAGAAGGGCAGUAAGUUAAUACCUUGCUGUUUUGACGUUACCAACAGAAUAAGCACCGGCUAACUUCGUG